This 421-nucleotide ribosomal RNA is filed under the name uncultured bacterium. RNAcentral's name for it is "partial 16S ribosomal RNA". It matches the Rfam family "Bacterial small subunit ribosomal RNA", at positions 360 to 774 of the family's 1533-position model. The record is from RNAcentral.
AAUCUUCCACAAUGGACGAAAGUCUGAUGGAGCAACGCCGCGUGAGUGAAGAAGGUUCUCGGAUCGUAAAGCUCUGUUGUAAGGGAAGAACGAGUACAGGAGUAACUGUCUGUACCUUGACGGUACCUUACCAGAAAGCCACGGCGAACUACGUUCCAGCAGCCGCGGUAAUACGUAGGUGGCAAGCGUUGUCCGGAAUUAUUGGGCGUAAAGCGCGCGCAGGCGGUCUUUUAAGUCAGGUGUUUAAUCCCGGGGCUCAACCCUGGUACGCACUUGAAACUGGGAGGCUUGAGUACAGAAGAGGAGAGUGGAAUUCCACGUGUAGCGGUGAAAUGCGUAGAGAUGUGGAGGAACACCAGUGGCGAAGGCGACUCUCUGGUCUGUCACUGACGCUGAGGCGCGAAAGCGUGGGUAGCAAACA